UGGGGAAUAUUUCGCAAUGGGGGAAACCCUGACGCAGCGACGCCGCGUGCGGGAUGAAGGCCUUCGGGUUGUAAACCGCUUUUGAAUGGGAGCAAGCUUUCGGGUGAGUGUACCUUUCGAAUAAGCGCCGGCUAACUACGUGCCAGCAACCGCGGUAAUACGUAGGGCGCAAGCGUUAUCCGGAAUUAUUGGGCGUAAAGAGCUUGUAGGCGGUUCGUCGCGUCUGGUGUGAAAGCCCAUCGCUUAACGGUGGGUUUGCGCCGGGUACGGGCGGGCUAGAGUGCAGUAGGGGAGACUGGAAUUCUCGGUGUAACGGUGGAAUGUGUAGAUAUCGGGAAGAACACCGAUGGCGAAGGCAGGUCUCUGGGCUGUUACUGACGCUGAGAAGCGAAAGCGUGGGGAGCGAACAGG
Molecule: ribosomal RNA, 411 nt
Filed under: Bacteroidota bacterium
Lineage: Bacteria; Pseudomonadati; Bacteroidota
Description: Bacteroidetes bacterium partial 16S ribosomal RNA
Rfam family: Bacterial small subunit ribosomal RNA
Source: RNAcentral